RNAcentral lists this small RNA (1047 nucleotides) under Pan troglodytes (chimpanzee). RNAcentral describes it as "retained intron". Lineage: Eukaryota; Metazoa; Chordata; Mammalia; Primates; Hominidae. The record is from RNAcentral.
CUAAAUUCCAGGAGGGUGAGCGAGUGCUGUGCUUUCAUGGGCCUCUUCUUUAUGAAGCAAAGUGUGUAAAGGUUGCCAUAAAGGACAAACAAGUGAAAUACUUCAUACAUUACAGUGGUUGGAAUAAAAAUUGGGAUGAGUGGGUUCCGGAGAGCAGAGUACUCAAAUACGUGGACACCAAUUUGCAGAAACAGCGAGAACUUCAAAAAGCCAAUCAGGAGCAGUAUGCAGAGGGGAAGAUGAGAGGGGCUGCCCCAGGAAAGAAGACAUCUGGUCUGCAACAGAAAAAUGUUGAAGUGAAAACGAAAAAGAACAAACAGAAAAGUAAGAAUAUUAACUUUCUUAACGUUAAUUUAUGUUACCUCUAUGACAUUGACGUUUUUAUUUUGAAAGCUAUGAAAUUUUGGAGUAAGCUUAUGUUUAUUGAUCAUCUCAAAUGGGAGUCUCACAGCAGUGUUAUAAAAUAGGUACAUGGUGGUAGAGACCUCUUUUUGCCAAGGAGAAACUUGUGAGCAUUUAUUUUCAUCUGCUUUAGUCUUGAUGUCUCCCACUGAGAAGAUAACAUUUAUAAAUAAAUGGAAGAUGGUGAUACUAAAUGUUGUCUAUACUAAAUGUUCGGUAGAGCUCUUCAUGAAAGUUGUAUUUUUGGUAGGAAUAUGAUUCUUUAACUUAGAUUGAGGUAACAGCUGUGUAAUGGAGAAAUAAUGAAAAGGGAUAAUGUGUCAAGAGACUAUUUUCCUUAUAGAGUUUGUUAAAUUAGCUAAAUGAGACCCCUUCCCGCCAACAUUUACAGCACCUGGAAAUGGAGAUGGUGGCAGUACCAGUGAGACCCCUCAGCCUCCUCGGAAGAAAAGGGCCCGGGUAGAUCCUACUGUUGAAAAUGAGGAAACAUUCAUGAACAGAGUUGAAGUUAAAGUAAAGAUUCCUGAAGAGCUAAAACCGUGGCUUGUUGAUGACUGGGACUUAAUUACCAGGCAAAAACAGCUCUUUUAUCUUCCUGCCAAGAAGAAUGUGGAUUCCAUUCUUGAGGAUUAUGCAAAUUACAAG